GACGAACGCUGGCGGCGUGCUUAACACAUGCAAGUCGAACGGAAAGGCCUCUUUCGGGGGGUACUCGAGUGGCGAACGGGUGAGUAACACGUGAGUAACCUGCCCUUGACUUUGGGAUAACUUCAGGAAACUGGGGCUAAUACCGGAUAGGAGCUCCUGCUGCAUGGUGGGGGUUGGAAAGUUUCGGCGGUUGGGGAUGGACUCGCGGCUUAUCAGCUUGUUGGUGGGGUAGUGGCUUACCAAGGCUUUGACGGGUAGCCGGCCUGAGAGGGUGACCGGCCACAGUGGGACUGAGAUACGGCCCAGACUCCUACGGGAGGCAGCAGUGGGGAAUAUUGCACAAUGGGUGGAAGCCUGAUGCAGCAACGCCGUGUGCGGGAUGACGGCCUUCGGGUUGGAAACCGCUUUCGCUCAUGACGAAGCUUUGUGUGACGGUAGUGGGUAAAGAAGCACCGGCUAACUACGUG
This 467-nucleotide ribosomal RNA is filed under the name uncultured bacterium. RNAcentral describes it as "partial 16S ribosomal RNA". It matches the Rfam family "Bacterial small subunit ribosomal RNA", at positions 28 to 507 of the family's 1533-position model. The record is from RNAcentral.